Cyprinus carpio carpio is the source of this 497-nucleotide long non-coding RNA. The record is from Ensembl. Lineage: Eukaryota; Metazoa; Chordata; Actinopteri; Cypriniformes; Cyprinidae.
UGGAGAGGAAAGGAAAGAGAGAUUGAUACCUGUGGAGAGAAAAGGAGAGAGAGUGGGUAACACGAGGAGAGACCGAGGAAACCUGUACUUACGCCGCUGCCUGUGGAGAAAGAGAAAGAGAGUGAGCACCCAGAGAACGAACUGUGUGAACCAGUACUUACUGUGAGCUGCAAUCAGCGAAGAGCCGUUGCCUGUGGAGGAAGAGAAAGAGAGUGAGCACCUCGAGAACGAACUGUGUGAACCAGUACUUACCGUGAGCUGUAUUCAGCGAAGAGGAGGAAGAAGGAGGGCGCUACGGAUACCUAAGACUCAGGCCGGGGCCCGAGUCCCACGCCCCGGAUCCCCGUGGCCCCCUUGCUCCCUGACCUCUUCCCGGCCAUAGCCCAUCUGGAGGGCCGAGUCAGAGUUUAGUUUUAAUUGCCCUUUCCCUAUUCCCCAAGCUAUUUUUAAAUAUUUAAAUAAAGAUUGUUUUAUCACUUACUUGUUCUCGUGUUUGG